UUAUCCUACGGGGCGCAGCAGUGAGGAAUAUUGGUCAAUGGCCGGAAGGCUGAACCAGCCAAGUCGCGUGAGGGAAUAAGGCCCUAUGGGUCGUAAACCUCUUUUGUCAGGGAGCAAAGGCGUCCACGUGUGGACGAGAGGAGAGUACCUGAAGAAAAAGCAUCGGCUAACUCCGUGCCAGCAGCCGCGGUAAUACGGAGGAUGCGAGUGUUAUCCGGAUUUAUUGGGUUUAAAGGGUGCGUAGGCGGUCCGUUAAGUCAGCGGUAAAAUUGCGGGGCUCAACCCCGUCGAGCCGUUGAAACUGG
Molecule: ribosomal RNA, 305 nt
Filed under: uncultured bacterium
Lineage: Bacteria
Description: bacterial SSU rRNA
Rfam family: Bacterial small subunit ribosomal RNA
Source: RNAcentral